CCUCGGAAGUGGGGUUUAGGUCCAAAG
This 27-nucleotide non-coding RNA is filed under the name Cricetulus griseus (Chinese hamster). The record is from RNAcentral. Lineage: Eukaryota; Metazoa; Chordata; Mammalia; Rodentia; Cricetidae.